AGAGUUUGAUCCUGGCUCAGGACGAACGCUGGCGGCGUGCCUAACACAUGCAAGUCGAGCGAUGAAGUUUCCUUCGGGAAACGGAUUAGCGGCGGACGGGUGAGUAACACGUGGGUAACCUGCCUUAUAGUGGGGGAUAGCCUUUCGAAAGGAAGAUUAAUACCGCAUAAGAUUGUAGUAUCGCAUGAUAUAGCAAUUAAAGGAGCAAUCCGCUAUAAGAUGGACCCGCGUCGCAUUAGCUAGUUGGUGAGGUAAUGGCUCACCAAGGCGACGAUGCGUAGCCGACCUGAGAGGGUGAUCGGCCACAUUGGGACUGAGACACGGCCCAGACUCCUACGGGAGGCAGCAGUGGGGAAUAUUGCACAAUGGGCGAAAGCCUGAUGCAGCAACGCCGCGUGAGUGAUGACGGCCUUCGGGUUGUAAAACUCUGUCUUCAGGGACGAUAAUGACGGUACCUGAGG
RNAcentral lists this ribosomal RNA (461 nucleotides) under uncultured Clostridium sp. RNAcentral describes it as "bacterial SSU rRNA". It matches the Rfam family "Bacterial small subunit ribosomal RNA", at positions 8 to 484 of the family's 1533-position model. Lineage: Bacteria; Bacillati; Bacillota; Clostridia; Eubacteriales; Clostridiaceae. The record is from RNAcentral.